UGCACGAAAAGGGUGUAUUAUCGGCUAUGAGAUGGAAUACCUUAUUCGCUUUGACAUUCCAUUAAGAAAGACAUUGCUUUGUUUCCAGGACAUCAUUAAUGGAUGAUAACAAUCCUUAAACUGGAAACAUUUUAUUCAAAUGGUAACUUGAACGGGCAGUUAGAUAGGCUAUGUACAGAAUAAUGGUGAAAACUAACAAUUGGCAAUCGACUUCCAAGUAAAUGAUAAUGCCUUUGCUUCCAUUUUUGACCUAUUUACAGGUUCUAACAGAAUACUGAUAGAAGAACAUGUCAAGUCUUAGUUAACUCAUCAGGUGCUGUGCUAUUAGAUUGCAGCUCAGACUCAAUUCUGUAAUGUCGCCAACCAGGAAUCAACCUGCAAAAGGAAGCAUUCAGGUAGAUGAUAAAAUGAGUAUGAAUCUAUAAAUCAGAUUUUGGUUGUUAGUAUACUAAACAACAACAACAACAACCCAGUAUAAUCCCACUAGUGGGGUCUGGGGAGGGUAGUGUGUACACAGACCUUACCCCUACCCUGGGGUAGAGGCUGUUUCCGAUAGACCCUCGGCUCCCUCCCUCCAAGAACUCCCCACCUUGCUCUUGGGGUGACUCGAACUCACAAUCUCUUGGUUGUUAGUAUACUGUAUUUGUAAAAUAAUUCUGGAGAAGAAAAACAACGUAUAAACAGAAAUGUAGAAGUAGAAAUUAAUCCGAGUCCACUGAAUUC
This 723-nucleotide long non-coding RNA is filed under the name Nicotiana tabacum (common tobacco). RNAcentral's name for it is "long non-coding RNA (NTAB_LNC013026)". Lineage: Eukaryota; Viridiplantae; Streptophyta; Magnoliopsida; Solanales; Solanaceae. The record is from RNAcentral.